This 253-nucleotide ribosomal RNA is filed under the name uncultured bacterium. RNAcentral's name for it is "partial 16S ribosomal RNA". It matches the Rfam family "Bacterial small subunit ribosomal RNA", at positions 524 to 776 of the family's 1533-position model. The record is from RNAcentral.
UACGAAGGGGGCUAGCGUUGCUCGGAAUCACUGGGCGUAAAGCGCACGUAGGCGGAUCUUUAAGUCAGAGGUGAAAUCCCAAGGCUCAACCUUGGAACUGCCUUUGAUACUGGGGAUCUCGAGUCCGGAAGAGGUGAGUGGAACUGCGAGUGUAGAGGUGAAAUUCGUAGAUAUUCGCAAGAACGCCAGUGGCGAAGGCGGCUCACUGGUCCGGUACUGACGCUGAGGUGCGAAAGCGUGGGGAGCAAACAGG